Molecule: long non-coding RNA, 543 nt
Organism: Lagopus leucura (white-tailed ptarmigan)
Lineage: Eukaryota; Metazoa; Chordata; Aves; Galliformes; Phasianidae
Exons: 3
Source: RefSeq, a predicted model, not a curated record
CAUUUGGCUUAAAAAGCUGAGUGGGUCACUGCCAGGGGAACCCACAGCUGGAACCCCAAAGGAAGGGGAGCCUGAAGGGUAGCUGUAUCUGCUGAGGGGAGAGCCGUCGAGAAGGGAGCUUGGCCUCAGGGAGCCCCUGGACCACCAGGGAUAACCUGAAAUCAUGAGGCUUUCCACCCGCAUCUGAAAAACGCACAAUGGAGCGUUUACCCUAAAAACAGCACAAGUGUGGCAUCUCUCCCCUCCCCAGAGGGACAGACUGAGCGACUGCGAGAGGAAAACCCACGGCAGCCAGCAGUGAGGACGCUGGGACUCAGCUUGUGCUCCAAGCUCUGCAGUCACAAUGUCCCCUCCGCUCACCUCGGACCUGGGCUACGUGCCCCCUGAUGGUGGCUGGGGCUGGGCGGUGGUGUUUGGAGCCUCCAUCUCUGUGGGCUUCUCGCACACCUUCCCCAAAGCUUUCACCAUCUACUUUAAAGAGCUCCAGACUGUUUACAGCAUCUCCUACAGCCAGCUUGCCUGGAUCACAUCCAUCAUGUGCGC